ACUACGGGAGGCUGCAGUGAGGAAUAUUGGUCAAUGGGCGCGAGCCUGAACCAGCCAAGUAGCGUGAAGGAUGACUGCCCUACGGGUUGUAAACCUCUUUUAUAAGGGAAUAAAGUGUGGGACGUGUCCUGUUUUGUAUGUACCUUAUGAAUAAGGAUCGGCUAACUCCGUGCCAGCAGCCGCGGUAAUACGGGGGAUACGAGCGUUAUCCGGAUUUAUUGGGUUUAAAGGGUGCGUAGGCGGCCUUUUAAGUCAGCGGUGAAAGUCUGGUGCUCAACCAUAGAAGUGCCGUUGAAACUGGGAGGCUUGAGUAUGUUUGAGGCAGGCGGAAUGCGUGGUGUAGCGGUGAAAUGCUUAGAUAUCACGCAGAACCCCGAUUGCGAAGGCAGCCUGCCAAGCCAUGACUGACGCUGAUGCACGAAAGCGUGGGGAUCAAACAGGAUUAGAUACCCUAGUAGUC
RNAcentral lists this ribosomal RNA (460 nucleotides) under uncultured bacterium. RNAcentral describes it as "partial 16S ribosomal RNA". It matches the Rfam family "Bacterial small subunit ribosomal RNA", at positions 338 to 795 of the family's 1533-position model. The record is from RNAcentral.